GUCGAGUAGCUUGUGAACCUGUAGUACUCAGCCAAUGAGGAAACAGGGGAGGUGAUCAGGUGUCGGGUUAUAGGGAAUAAAAGGUUAUGAUUUGUUUACUAGAAUGCGCUCCUAAUUGACAUGACGCCCGCCAUUGCAAUCGCAAAUAAAAUAGCUUCACAGAA
Molecule: long non-coding RNA, 164 nt
Organism: Cygnus olor (mute swan)
Lineage: Eukaryota; Metazoa; Chordata; Aves; Anseriformes; Anatidae
Exons: 2
Source: RefSeq, a predicted model, not a curated record